Molecule: unclassified non-coding RNA, 345 nt
Filed under: soil metagenome
Description: partial contains 5.8S ribosomal RNA, internal transcribed spacer 2, and large subunit ribosomal RNA
Rfam family: 5.8S ribosomal RNA (bases 1-120)
Source: RNAcentral
GAUGAAGAACGUAGCGAAAUGCGAUAAGUAAUGUGAAUUGCAGAAUUCCGUGAAUCAUCGAAUUUUUGAACGCAUAUUGCGCCCUCUGGUAUUCCGGAGGGCAUGCCUGUCCGAGCGUCAUUGCUGCCCUCAAGCACGGCUUGUGUGUUGGGCCUCCGUCCUCCUCCCGGGGGACGGGCCCGAAAGGCAGCGGCGGCACCGCGUCCGGUCCUCGAGCGUAUGGGGCUUCGUCACCCGCUCUUGUAGGCCCGGCCGGCGCUUGCCGACACAUCAAUCUUUUUUCCAGGUUGACCUCGGAUCAGGUAGGGAUACCCGCUGAACUUAAGCAUAUCAAUAAGCGGAGGA